Molecule: ribosomal RNA, 253 nt
Filed under: uncultured bacterium
Lineage: Bacteria
Description: partial 16S ribosomal RNA
Rfam family: Bacterial small subunit ribosomal RNA
Source: RNAcentral
UACGUAGGGUGCAAGCGUUAAUCGGAUUUACUGGGCGUAAAGCGUGCGCAGGCGGUGAUGUAAGACAGGUGUGAAAUCCCCGGGCUUAACCUGGGAACUGCAUUUGUGACUGCAUCGCUGGAGUGCGGCAGAGGGGGAUGGAAUUCCGCGUGUAGCAGUGAAAUGCGUAGAUAUGCGGAGGAACACCGAUGGCGAAGGCAAUCCCCUGGGCCUGCACUGACGCUCAUGCACGAAAGCGUGGGGAGCAAACAGG